RNAcentral lists this ribosomal RNA (460 nucleotides) under uncultured bacterium. RNAcentral's name for it is "partial 16S ribosomal RNA". It matches the Rfam family "Bacterial small subunit ribosomal RNA", at positions 338 to 795 of the family's 1533-position model. The record is from RNAcentral.
CCUACGUGAGGCAGCAGUGAGGAAUAUUGGUCAAUGGGCGCGAGCCUGAACCAGCCAAGUAGCGUGAAGGAUGACUGCCCUACGGGUUGUAAACUUCUUUUAUAAAGGAAUAAAGUGAGGCACGAGUGCCUUUUUGUAUGUACUUUAUGAAUAAGGAUCGGCUAACUCCGUGCCAGCAGCCGCGGUAAUACGGAGGAUCCGAGCGUUAUCCGGAUUUAUUGGGUUUAAAGGGAGCGUAGAUGGGUUGUUAAGUCAGUUGUGAAAGUUUGCGGCUCAACCGUAAAAUUGCAAUUGAUACUGGCAGUCUUGAGUACAGUUGAGGUAGGCGGAAUUCGUGGUGUAGCGGUGAAAUGCUUAGAUAUCACGAAGAACUCCGAUUGCGAAGGCAGCUUACUAAACUGCCACUGACAUUGAUGCUCGAAAGUGUGGGUAUCAAACAGGAUUAGAUACCCCAGUAGUC